Long non-coding RNA from Mesocricetus auratus (golden hamster), 712 nucleotides. RefSeq lists it as uncharacterized. Lineage: Eukaryota; Metazoa; Chordata; Mammalia; Rodentia; Cricetidae. The transcript is spliced from 3 exons. The record is from RefSeq and is a predicted model, not a curated record.
CAGAUAAUAAACCCACUUUCUUCUUUUCUCACAGCUCUGCCUCCUCAGUGUGAGUUCAGCGCCACCUACCCUACUCAGAGCUUCCUGCUGUUUGCCAUAGAAGUCUCCUCAAGAACACCAAAGCCCUAUCAGCUUCCAACACUCUUCCCUUCAGCUCCGUGCAGAGAGAGACCUGCUCAUCUUGAGAAAGAUUUCAGUGUCAUCCAAAAGCUGUGAUUCCUCAGUCAGUUCUUCUGCUCUAACAGACUUCACUGUGUGUGUAGAUUUAACAGCUGUCUGCUUCAGUUUGCAUUAUGUGUGAGUUAGAUGAAUGAUGACUAGCAAAAAGGCAAACAGUGUUUUACCAUCUCUUGCAUUAGAAAACUCAUCUGCAGACAAGUUACAGAGAUGUGAGGUGCACCAAAGUGUUGGAAUGGCAAGGUGCAAGAGUUUUUCCUGUGUUUAACUUCUCAUCUCAAAUGUAGCAUAAAGGACCAAAAUACCUUGAAGGCUCCUGUUUACUUUGGGAAAACGGGCAAAGGUCUGCCUUCCCCCAAUGAGGUCACUGAAAAUGAACCAAAAAUGGAUCCCCUUCAAGACCACCUUAAUUAGUGUAUUGGGUGAUGGUGACUCAAAGGCAGUUGCAUUAUCAAGAAUACCUGUAAAGAGAAGCUUUUUCUUUGCUAGCUGCUUUGGUUUAUCCCCCGCCAGCCGCCUGGGCUCUGCCGCAUUG